Molecule: ribosomal RNA, 253 nt
Filed under: uncultured bacterium
Lineage: Bacteria
Description: partial 16S ribosomal RNA
Rfam family: Bacterial small subunit ribosomal RNA
Source: RNAcentral
UACGUAGGGGGCAAGCGUUGUCCGGAAUCAUUGGGCGUAAAGAGCGUGUAGGCGGCCCGAUAAGUCCGCUGUGAAAGUCCAGGGCUCAACCCUGGAAUGCCGGUGGAUACUGUCGGGCUCGAAUCCGGAAGAGGUGAGUGGAAUUCCUGGUGUAGCGGUGAAAUGCGCAGAUAUCAGGAGGAACACCGAUGGCGAAGGCAGGUCUCUGGGCAUUAACUGACGCUGAGGAGCGAAAGCAUGGGGAGCGAACAGG